This 128-nucleotide small nuclear RNA is filed under the name Vicugna pacos (alpaca). RNAcentral describes it as "U4 spliceosomal RNA (ENSVPAG00000017018.1)". It matches the Rfam family "U4 spliceosomal RNA". Rfam says of the family: U4 small nuclear RNA (U4 snRNA) is a component of the major U2-dependent spliceosome. The structure of U4 snRNA from yeast and human has been reported. U4 snRNA presents a k-turn RNA motif in the 5p-SL related to recognition of Snu13 protein. The record is from Rfam by way of RNAcentral. Lineage: Eukaryota; Metazoa; Chordata; Mammalia; Artiodactyla; Camelidae.
AGCUUUGCGCAGUGGCAGUAUCGUAGCCAAUGGGGUUUAUCCGAGGCGCGAUUAUUGCUAAUAGAAUUUAAUUUUAAUAAACCAGUUUCCAUGUUCCAACUUAAUUUUACACAGUUAGUAGUCUUUAA